RNAcentral lists this ribosomal RNA (468 nucleotides) under uncultured bacterium. Its description in RNAcentral is "partial 16S ribosomal RNA". It matches the Rfam family "Bacterial small subunit ribosomal RNA", at positions 28 to 507 of the family's 1533-position model. The record is from RNAcentral.
GACGAACGCUGGCGGCGUGCUUAACACAUGCAAGUCGAACGGAAAGGCCCUGCUUUUGUGGGGUGCUCGAGUGGCGAACGGGUGAGUAACACGUGAGUAACCUGCCCUUGACUUUGGGAUAACUUCAGGAAACUGGGGCUAAUACCGGAUAGGAGCUCCUGUUGCAUGGUGGGGGUUGGAAAGUUUCGGCGGUUGGGGAUGGACUCGCGGCUUAUCAGCUUGUUGGUGGGGUAGUGGCUUACCAAGGCUUUGACGGGUAGCCGGCCUGAGAGGGUGACCGGCCACAUUGGGACUGAGAUACGGCCCAGACUCCUACGGGAGGCAGCAGUGGGGAAUAUUGCACAAUGGGCGGAAGCCUGAUGCAGCAACGCCGCGUGCGGGAUGACGGCCUUCGGGCUGUAAACCGCUUUCGCCUGUGACGAAGCGUGAGUGACGGUAAUGGGUAAAGAAGCACCGGCUAACUACGUG